Molecule: ribosomal RNA, 465 nt
Filed under: uncultured bacterium
Lineage: Bacteria
Description: partial 16S ribosomal RNA
Rfam family: Bacterial small subunit ribosomal RNA
Source: RNAcentral
GACGAACGCUGGCGGCGUGCUUAACACAUGCGAGUCGAACGGAAAGGCCCUGCUUGCCGGGUACUCUCGUGGCGAACGGGUGAGUAACACGUGUGUGUUCUGCCCUCCACUUCUUGAUAAGCCUUGAGAACUGUGGCUAUUACCUGAUAUGGGCCAUUUUUAUUGUUGUGGUUGGAAAGUUUUUUCGGUGUGGGAUGAGCUCGCUGCCUAUCAGCUUGUUGGUGGGUGAAUGGCCUACCAAGGCGGCGACGGGUAGCCGGCCUGGGUGGGUGGACGGCCACAUUGGGACUGAGAUAAGGCCCAGAACCCCACGGGGAGCAGGAGGGGGGAAUAAUGGAAAAAGGGGGGAAGGCUGAUGCAGCGACGCCGCGUGGGGGAUGACGGCCUUCGGGUUGGAAACCCCUUUCGCUAGGGAAGAAGCUUUUUGUGACGGUACCUAGAAAAGAAGCACCGGCUAACUACGUG